RNAcentral lists this ribosomal RNA (245 nucleotides) under uncultured bacterium. RNAcentral's name for it is "partial small subunit ribosomal RNA". It matches the Rfam family "Bacterial small subunit ribosomal RNA", at positions 26 to 285 of the family's 1533-position model. The record is from RNAcentral.
AGAAUCAACGCUGGCGGCGUGCCUAACACAUGCAAGUCGAACGAGAAAGUGGAGCAAUCCAUGAGUAAAGUGGCGCACGGGUGAGUAACACGUGACUAACCUACCCUUGAGUGGGGAAUAACUUCGGGAAACCGAGGCUAAUACCGCAUAACACCUACGGGUCAAAGGAGCAAUUCGCUUAAGGAGGGGGUCGCGGCAGAUUAGUUAGUUGGCGGGGUAAUGGCCCACCAAGACGGUGAUCUGUA